CAAAAAAAAGUGUUUCUUUUAAGUGGUAACCAUAUACAUAAUCAGUUGUUUUGGGUCCGAAUGGAACAAAAAAAUUGUAAUAUGAUGACUAACAAGGUUAGUAAAAAAACCUUUGGUAGUAGUAUAACUUUAAUUGAAUUUAAAUGCACAGUUUUUAAAUCCAAAUGUUUUUUAGAAAAUUUCUACAAUCAUAUUAUUUUUAUUUUACAAAACAGUAAUAAUAGCAUAGAUAUUUAUAGUGUUAGCGAUAGCAAAAUAAAUUAUUUUUUAAAAAAAAAAAAUAUAACAGCGACUUCAGAAGAAGAGCUAACGCCAGAGCUAAAGUCAGAGCCAGAGCCAGAGCCAGAGCUAAAGUCAGAGCUAAAGUCAGAACCAGAGCCGAGUCUUGCCAACAAGGACAAGCGUACUAAAUGUAGUAGAAUAUAUAUGAAAAAAAAAAAAAUCCAAAAAAUCAAUUUAAAUAAUAUGCUUACGCACUUGGUAACUUUAAAUGAUUGUACACUAUCCGAUUUUGACAUAACGAAUUGUGGGUUGGUUAUAUAUUUAUAUAAAUAUUUUUUGAAACCUUUUAUUUGUAUUAUGAAUUUGUUCGUUGAAACGAUUGUUAAAAAAAGUGGUUUAAAAACAAAUAUAGAUAGCAAAAAAAAAAAAAACGAAAAACUUGUUAUUAGUAAACCCGAAUAUAUUUGUUUGCCUAUAAUAAAGGGUCAAGUUCAGAGCGGCCUAAAUAAUAAUUUUAAGAACGGGUAUAUAAAUUUAUACAUAAGCAACAGUUUUAUUAAUAGUAUUCGUUUAGUUAUCGACUUAAAAAAACGAAUAAUUGCACUACCCCAAAAUAUACAUAAAUCAAAUAAAAAAAAAAAAUUUGGUUUGUUUUUUUUAAAAAGUAAAAAUAAUUUUUUUUAUGAUUUACGAAUGCAAGAUAUUUUUCAAAGAAAAAAAAAUUUUGCAAUACAAGAUGUGUUUAUUAAUAAUAAAACAAAUAACAAAAAAAUUGUUAUUACUUUAGUUUAUAAAACAAGAGAUAACCCGAAUAUAUGUGUUGACUCAAGUAAGAACCAAUACCAUGGCCAGUACCAUGACCAGUACCAUGACCGGGACCAUGACCCCGAUGGGUGUUUCACUUUUUUUCAAUACAUAAAUAGUGUGUAUCAUAAUGACAGUAAUAGUGGUAGUGGCAGUAGCAGUGGCAGUGGCAGUGGCAGUAGCAGUGACAUUCAUUAUUAUACUAUUUAUAAUACUAGCCUACCGCUUUUUCUUAAGCCUACAAAAACAAUAAUUAAUAUUUAUCCAUUUUACAACCAAUUAAACCUUCCAGAUUAUACCGAUGAAUAUUUUUUUUAUUUAUUAAACAAUUUUGUUAUUGUUUAUUUACAUUUGAGUGGUUCAGGUGGUGGGUUGCACAUAACGAACGAAAAUAACGUGACACGUAGGAAGAUGCUUGCAACAUCAACAACGUCAAAGACAUAUGAGAAAGUCCAAUCGAUUGAAGGUUUAUAUGAAUGUAUUAAUUUUUUAAAAUAUAAAAAUAUAAGUAAUACAAAAAACCUAUAUAUAUAUUUAUACUCGAAUAGCGGUUUGUUUGGUGGUCAUAUAUUAAAUAAUGAUAAUAUAAAAAAAAAUAUAAAAAAUAUUAUUUUAACUAAUCCAAUGCUAGACUUGUUUAACAACCUGACGAAUUUGCAGAAUUUGCAUGUACAUUCGGAGCAAGUCGAGUUUGGCAAAAUAAGAGCGAGUGAUUUUGGUGUCAGCAAAGAGGAGGAUGGUUGUGGUAGUUUUGGUAGUAGUGGUAGUUGUGGUAGUAGUGGUAGUUGUGGUGGUAGUGGUAAUUGUGGUAGUAGUGGUAGUAGUAGUAGUGAUGGUUAUAACAGGAUGUUUUUUGCUUCGGGGCGUGGACAAUCAGAAAAGUUAAGAAGAAGAAAGCAUCAGUUAGUAAAUAAAAUUUACAAAUGUUUAAAAAAAAAAAAAAGUACAAAUAACAAUACCUACUUUUGGAAUAAAACAUUUAGUUGUAGUUAUAAGUAUGUAAAAAAGAAAAUGCAAAAAAAGGAAUAUUUAAUUACACAAAGAGUUUUGCCAUAUAAAACUGAAAAGGAGUUUCUGUAUACUGCCCAAAACAACUUACUUUUUUUAUACUCGAUUUGUCCGUAUUAUAACAUCACAGCAAAACAUACAGAAGUAUAUGAAACAAACAAAAAGGAUAAAAGUAAUGAUCAAAAAUUUGUUGGUGAAACUAUAAGUAAUAAUAUAAACCCUUUUUUAAAAAAUAAUAUUAUUUUAUAUAUAAAUAAAUAUGACAACAUUUGUCCUAAUUACAAUUCGAUUAAAUAUUUUUUAAAAUAUAUGGAUUAUAAAAAAGUAAUAAUUAAACAUUUUUACUAUGUUUCGCAGUAUUAUUAUAAUGAUAAUACUUUAUUACAAAAUAAAAAAAAAAUAAACUUUUUAAAUUAUAAUGAAUUUGU
RNAcentral lists this long non-coding RNA (2462 nucleotides) under Piliocolobus tephrosceles (Ugandan red Colobus). Its description in RNAcentral is "lncRNA (ENSPTEG00000003894.1)". The record is from RNAcentral. Lineage: Eukaryota; Metazoa; Chordata; Mammalia; Primates; Cercopithecidae.